Burkholderiales bacterium is the source of this 85-nucleotide non-coding RNA. The record is from Rfam. NCBI's taxonomy places the organism in Bacteria, Pseudomonadati, Pseudomonadota, Betaproteobacteria, Burkholderiales.
UCGCAAUCCGCCAACCGGUCAAGCCGUGUCGCGGAAGGUUCUCCAACCAGCCAACGUCCCAGGAUACCUGGGAGCAAGGUGAGCG